Molecule: ribosomal RNA, 160 nt
Filed under: uncultured bacterium
Lineage: Bacteria
Description: partial 16S rRNA
Rfam family: Bacterial small subunit ribosomal RNA
Source: RNAcentral
UGGGGAAUAUUGGACAAUGGGCGAAAGCCUGAUCCAGCCAUGCCGCGUGUGUGAAGAAGGUCUUCGGAUUGUAAAGCACUUUAAGUUGGGAGGAAGGGCAUUAACCUAAUACGUUAGUGUUUUGGCGUUACCGACAGAAUAAGCACCGGCUAACUCUGUG